AUUAUCGGAGAGUUUGAUCCUGGCUCAGGACGAACGCUGGCGGCGUGCCUAAUACAUGCAAGUCGAGCGGACAGAUGGGAGCUUGCUCCCUGAUGUUAGCGGCGGACGGGUGAGUAACACGUGGGUAACCUGCCUGUAAGACUGGGAUAACUCCGGGAAACCGGGGCUAAUACCGGAUGCUUGUUUGAACCGCAUGGUUCAAACAUAAAAGGUGGCUUCGGCUACCACUUACAGAUGGACCCGCGGCGCAUUAGCUAGUUGGUGAGGU
Molecule: ribosomal RNA, 268 nt
Filed under: Bacillus subtilis
Lineage: Bacteria; Bacillati; Bacillota; Bacilli; Caryophanales; Bacillaceae
Description: partial 16S ribosomal RNA
Rfam family: Bacterial small subunit ribosomal RNA
Source: RNAcentral